CCUACGGGAGGCAGCAGUAGGGAAUUUUCGUCAAUGGGCGCAAGCCUGAACGAGCAAUGCCGCGUGAACGAGGAAGGUCUUCGGAUCGUAAAGUUCUGUUGAAGGGGAAAAAGAGCGGAGAGAGGAAAUGAACUCCGAUUGAUAUUACCCUUCGAGGAAGUCACGACUAACUACGUGCCAGCAGCCGCGGUAAUACGUAGGGGGCGAGCGUUAUCCGGAAUGAUUGGGCGGAAAGGGUGCGUAGGCGGCCUGCUAAGUCUGGAGUGAAAGGUACCGGCUCAACCGGUACAGGCUCUGGAAACUGGCGGGCUAGAGAGCAGGAGAGGGCGGUGGAACUCCAUGUGUAGCGGUAAAAUGCGUAGAUAUAUGGAAGAACACCAGUGGCGAAGGCGGCCGCCUGGCCUGUUGACUGACGCUGAGGCACGAAAGCGUGGGGAGCAAAUAGGAUUAGAUACCCGAGUAGUC
This 465-nucleotide ribosomal RNA is filed under the name uncultured bacterium. RNAcentral describes it as "partial 16S ribosomal RNA". It matches the Rfam family "Bacterial small subunit ribosomal RNA", at positions 338 to 795 of the family's 1533-position model. The record is from RNAcentral.